CAUAUAAUCCAUCCAUCCGGAAGUACUUGUCAUCAAAAUAAAUAUAAGGAGAUGUAUCUAGAUGUAUUUUAAUUCUAGAUACAUUCUUUUUGUCCAUUUUGAUGACAAAUAUUUUUGAACGGAGGGAGUACUUU
Non-coding RNA from Triticum aestivum (bread wheat), 134 nucleotides. The record is from Rfam. NCBI's taxonomy places the organism in Eukaryota, Viridiplantae, Streptophyta, Magnoliopsida, Poales, Poaceae.